This 465-nucleotide ribosomal RNA is filed under the name uncultured bacterium. RNAcentral's name for it is "partial 16S ribosomal RNA". It matches the Rfam family "Bacterial small subunit ribosomal RNA", at positions 338 to 795 of the family's 1533-position model. The record is from RNAcentral.
CCUACGGGUGGCAGCAGUAGGGAAUCUUCCACAAUGGGCGAAAGCCUGAUGGAGCAACGCCGCGUGGGUGAAGAAGGUCUUCGGAUCGUAAAACCCUUUUGUUAGAGAAGAAAGUGCGUGCGAGUAACUGUUCACGUUUCGACGGUAUCUAACCAGAAAGCCACGGCUAACUACGUGCCAGCAGCCGAGGUAAUACGUAGGUGGCAAGCGUUAUCCGGAUUUAUUGGGUGUAAAGGGAGCGCAGGCGGUAUUUUAAGUCUGAUGUGAAAGCCUUCGGCUUAACCGGAGUAGUGCAUUGGAAACUGGGAGACGUGAGUGCAGAAGAGGAGAGUGGAACGCCAUGUGUAGCGGUGAAAUGCGUAGAUAUAAGGAAGAACACCGGUGGCGAAAGCGGCUCUCUGGUCUGUAACUGACGCUGAGGUUCGAAAGCGUAGGUAGCAAACAGGAUUAGAUACCCUUGUAGUC